UUUUUUUUUUUUUCGUUGCUUCUUCUAAGCCAAGAGCUUUGUAUGCAUUAUCCUCUAUAACCUGCACAAUAACCUAUAGGUAAGGUCCUGUUAUUAUUUCCAAUGUACAGGCUCAGCGAAGUUAAGGGACUUGCACCAGCUCAGGGCUCAGUGGCAGGGGUAGGAUUUGAACCUAAGUCUUUAUGCUUUGAAAGCACAUGCUCUUCCCUCUUUUGCUUUCCUGCUUCCCACACACGAGUAAUCACACUGUCAAGCCUCAUCAAUGUCACUUUGAUCUACUAACGGGCCGUGAAGAGGGAAGUGCCAUCUCUCUGUAAAAUCAACAAGUCCUGGCAUGAAGACAGAGGUGCUAAUAGAGACACAAGUUCCCCGUUUGCCGAGGUCACUGACAGACUUGCACGGGGCUCAAAUGGCAUUCAGCCUCCUGGGAAAGGGAGGAGUUUGGGGGACCGCUGCCCACUGCCCAGGCCCUGGGUCCUAAGGGCUCCAGAGCCCCCCAGCAGGAGGCGGGCAGCAGGCAUGCUCUGUGUUUUGACAGCCAGGGAGAUAAACAGAGGUAUCGGUUUCAGUUAAACAUCCCUGGUGCUUAGACCUUCUCUCCAAACACAAUGUCCUCACAUUGCUUGGCUAUCAGAGUCAAGAGUGACAGCUUCACAACUGAUAUGGACGGCCAGCUGCCUGCAAACUCUGGGCGAGCCGCAGAAACCUCUAAGGCCUCUGUACAAUAGGCUUCAGGAAAUGGGGACAAGUCAUGCUGGGAGGAGGGGAGGUCUGUGAUCAUCCAAUGGGAAGGAGGCAGGUCAGGCCUGGGAAGAAGGGCAAUGGAAGUUCCAUCCCAUAUUCCCAUCCCCACACCACCUCGUCUCAUCCUCAGAGAUCUAGACCUGGGCUGUCUGGCAUGCAACCCAUCAGCCCCCUGGGGCUAUUGAGCACUUGAAAUAUAGCCAGUCCAAGUUGAGGUGUGCUGCAAGUGUUUUAAAAUCUGUGUGUAAAACACAGAUUUCAAAAACUUUGUACGGAAGAAAGAAUGUCAAAUAUCUCAUUGAGUUUUCAUAUUGAUUACAUGGUGAGAUGAUAAUAUUUGGGGUAUAGUAGGUUAAAUAAAAUAUUUUAUUGAAAUUAAUUUCACCUGUUUACUUUUACUCUCUAAUGUGGCUACCAGAAAAUUUUCAAUUGUAUACAUGGCUUGCAUUAUAUUUCUGUUGGACAGUGCUGCUCUGGAGGACCAAAAAUGAAAUGCAAUCGAACUCAAAGCGAACAAAUGUAAAUAUUUUUAUCAAAAUGCAAAUUAAAUGAAAACAAUAGAAAAACAAAAUUACUUCCAUGUAUAUUUUCAAGAUAGUUCUUUUUCUAAAACAUCCAAAGUUGCUAUUAAAAAUAAAAGGAUGAAUACAUAAUUAUUGAAUCUCAAAGUUUUAUUUUAUUUUUUUAAAUUAUUUUAUUUUAUUUUAUUUUAUUUUAUUUUAUUUUAUUUUAUUUAUGAUAGUCACACACAGAGAGAGAGAGAGAGAGAGGCAGAGACACAGGCAGAGGGAGAAGCAGGCUCCAUGCACCGGGAGCCCGACAUGGGAUUCGAUCCCGGGUCUCCAAGAUCGCGCCCUGGGCCAAAGGCAGGCGCCAAACCACUGCGCCACCCAGGGAUCCCGAAUCUCAAAAGUUUUAAAUAAAAAUUAUCUAAAUGUACCUGAAAGCCUUAGCUGAUUUCUUCGAAAGUUCUCCUAAACUAUUGUUAUAAAAAUAAAAUUAUUUAAAAAAUAAAAUAAAAUCAUUGAGAAUUCUAGUAGCCAAUGUAAAGAAUCGACAUUAUGCUUCACACUUAUUACAUCUGGAUGUACCUACCUAUACCUAAAAGAAUACUAUGAAUUGUUUAAGAUACCAACAUAUUAUUCAGUUAUUGUGUAACAGUUGUGACUAUCACACUGAUUCUGGAUCCCUUCAAAAACCCCGAAGCAGAGCAUAGAGAUAACAUAGGCACUCACCACUACUAGAUUUUUGUAUUGGGUGGACGACUCGGUAAGCCAAAUAAGCCAUCUUUUCUCUCACCUAAGCACUUCCACAGCUCAGAUCCUCCCCAUACCCCAAGGUUAGCAGCAACACAAUCCACUAACCUGCAUGGAAUUCAGACUCAGUUACCUUUUGUUUUGAGAACAUAGAGCAAGAAUGGUGUCAAUCACAAAAGCGGCUAGAG
RNAcentral lists this long non-coding RNA (2188 nucleotides) under Canis lupus familiaris (dog). RNAcentral describes it as "lncRNA (ENSCAFG00845010031.1)". Lineage: Eukaryota; Metazoa; Chordata; Mammalia; Carnivora; Canidae. The record is from RNAcentral.